UGGGGAAUAUUGGACAAUGGGCGAAAGCCUGAUCCAGCCAUGCCGCGUGUGUGAAGAAGGUCUUCGGAUUGUAAAGCACUUUAAGUUGGGAGGAAGGGCAUUAACCUAAUACGUUAGUGUUUUGACGUUACCGACAGAAUAAGCACCGGCUAACUCUGUGCCAGCAGCCGCGGUAAUACAGAGGGUGCAAGCGUUAAUCGGAAUUACUGGGCGUAAAGCGCGCGUAGGUGGUUUGUUAAGUUGGAUGUGAAAUCCCCGGGCUCAACCUGGGAACUGCAUUCAAAACUGACUGACUAGAGUAUGGUAGAGGGUGGUGGAAUUUCCUGUGUAGCGGUGAAAUGCGUAGAUAUAGGAAGGAACACCAGUGGCGAAGGCGACCACCUAGACUAAUACUGACACUGAGGUGCGAAAGCGUGGGGAGCAAACA
Molecule: ribosomal RNA, 427 nt
Filed under: uncultured bacterium
Lineage: Bacteria
Description: partial 16S ribosomal RNA
Rfam family: Bacterial small subunit ribosomal RNA
Source: RNAcentral